This is a long non-coding RNA of Helianthus annuus (common sunflower), 2811 nucleotides long. RefSeq lists it as uncharacterized. The transcript has 5 exons. The record is from RefSeq and is a predicted model, not a curated record. Lineage: Eukaryota; Viridiplantae; Streptophyta; Magnoliopsida; Asterales; Asteraceae.
AUUAUAAGUUAUAAAAAGUUGUCUACACCUAUUUUUUUCCCAAAUUUUACCGUAAAAUCCAUACAAUCCGUUGAUCGGCAGACAAAUCUCGUUUUGCUCAUGCUGUAAUUUCCAGCCGAAAGAUGAAACUUUUACUUGGAGAAACUUGAAGCGUUUUUUUUUCAAAACUAGAAGUUCGCACUUGUUACUUUUUAAUGGAGAAGAAGAAAUAAAGAUGAAAAACAAAAUAUAAAUGCAUGGCAUCGGGAUAUACCAUUAAGAGAACAGAGAAGAAAUUAUAUAUAUAUUAAAGAGAAAGGUCGGUGGCUACAUGCCACCUACCCUUUCUCUUUAGUCUUCCUUUUCCUCUUACCUUUCUAUCGUCAUUUUCUUCAAGAACUUUCUAGGACUAUACGUAAUUAACUUGCUCCAAAUCCCCAGAGCCCUCAAAAUUAAACACAAACCAAAUCAAAAUAUCAUAAAACCCAAACCAUAGAAUCGAUCGAUCAUGGCGCGAGGAAAUCAACCGGAGACGGAGUACUUGCUCGGAUUUCAUCAACAAUAUCCGAUUCACCAGAGUCAAACGAGUCGCAUCUGACGCCGGAUUUGUGGCCAAGGAGCUGUUGAAGAGCACCGUUAGUUUGAAGCCAACGUUAUUGGUGGUGGUGGUGUUGAGUUCAUCCAUGGGAUGUGGUUAUGCUAAACGAUCAGAAACAGAAUUGGUGUAUCACUUUCAUUGUCAUCCAAUACAUACGUAAGUAAUUUGGUUAGGUUUGAAAUGAGAAUAACCUGAAAAGGUAGGUGUAUAGUUGGAAAGUUAUUCUUUUCGAUUUUUGAGUAAUUGCAUGUCAAUCCCUGAAGUAUGAGCCUUUUUUGUGUUGUUCAUACUUCAUACUAUUCUAAAAAUGUGAAUGAUGUAUUUGAAUAUCUAGAACAGCCUAGAGCAUGGAGAACAAAAAUCUAAUCUAUUUGAACGAUACUAAUGGCAAAACAAUAGCUUUUACAAUAUAGGUAAAAGUGGUUAGGCUUUGGAGAAAACCAAAUCCUAAAAAAAGUUGGUGAGAUAUGGGCUAUUGGGAUGGUGCUCAUGGAUGAAACGGUACAUCGGGUAAGACAACAAAUGUAGUGUACAAGGAGAUUUUUAGUGAAACGCAUGAUCCAGUUUUACGGAUUAAGGUGCCCUUUCAUGGUGGUGUGAAAUGGGAAAUGGAUAAGAGUUAUUUUUUUUUCUCUAAAAUAUGUUGUGGAAAACUUACGUGGUAAAAUGGGUGAUUUCAAAAAGUAUUUAUUUGUGAUCAUUUGACCAUGAGUAAAUAACUCUGCUACUAAAAAGGGCAAUCACAAACUCACUAUCCGAGAGGGGUUGAUGAUUUACAUACAUGUGGAUCACUAUAGUCAAAAGAUUCGGCUUAUUUGCUAUCAGUUUAUGGACCACCUUGCAAACAUCAAAGAAUGAGUGAUUCAUACUUUGUUUUGUUAGUCGACAUGUGUAGAAUGAUUAUUGUUUCUUUUUAUUUUAGGGGCUAUGAUGAUAACUCACUCUUUGUGCAUUGUUCAGUGUUGGCAUGUAUUUGUCUGUGCUUUUACAUCACAAUCGGAUUAUGCAGCGAUGGUGGUUUAUCCUCUUCAUUUUGAAGAUGAGAUAUUCCGUGUCUUGGCGGGGAAGCUGACAUGCUGUGGUGUUUAAGUGCUUGCAUCACAGUCGGACUAUGCAGCCAUGGCAGUUUAUCCUCUUCAUUUUGAAGAUGAGGUAUUCCGUAUCUUGGCGGGGCAUAAGCUUCACAUAUCUGAGCCUCAUUCUUCCUUUGUUUUGUAUGCUAACGGUCCUUUGUUGACAUUGUCCUUUUAUUUUUUCCCUACUUGAAUAGUUUUGGCUUUAUGCUUAGCUUGAAUGCCUCUUCGUGUGAUUUACUUUGCUUUGACAAAGUGAUUGGGCAAUAUACUCAUGCUAUGAUGCUAGGAGAUGGUUGCCAUGAUCACAUGGCAACCAGUAGGUUUGUAACCUGUUUUGGGUUUGUUUUCCUCUAGGUGAAAUGCUCUAAAAGAACCACAAAACUCUACCAAAUCUUGCAAAGCUAGGAUGGGAUCGCAGGUGUCACUUCAAGGUAUUUUUUGGUUUAUUUCUUUCAAAGGUAAAUUCACACGUCACGCGUGUGACUUGAUGUCGCCGCCGCAACGCGCGGCGCUGGUAAAAAAGUAGUAAAGAUGAAAAACAAAAUAUAAAUGCAUAGCAUCGGGAUUCCAAUUUUUAAAAUAUUUACCUUUCCAAGAAAUUACAGUUGGAUUUUAAUUAAAAUUCAUUAUUAUUACUCUAAUUAAUAAACCAAAUUCUAUAAAUUAAAUACUGGUGGUAUUAGGGGAGUGGGGGUGGUCCGUGAUGGACCAUCCAUCAGACCAUCACUCGUGAAACUAUCACUAACACCGCCGCCACCUAUUCCCAUCAUUUGUGAAACUUUAACGCCUUGAUAAUAUCACGCGUUGAAGUUUGUUGAAUGUAUGUGUAUGACUUGUACAUUGUGUAUUAAUACUUGUACAUUGGAAUCCCAUCACUAGUGAUGACCACCGCCACUAAAGAAUGCUUGUGAGUGAUAGAAUAGUGGUUGCUGACAUGACGAAACAUGAUUGGAUGUUUGUGAGUGAUGGAAUUUCAUUACUAGUGACCACCCCCACUCCUCUUAUGCUUAGCCAGUAACAUUUUUCUCAAAUACGUAUAUUUUUUUAACUAAUUUAUAUUAUGUUCUUAUAUUAUCUUGACUAUGUUAUAAACUCGUCUUUUACACGGUUGAAUAAAAGAAUCAAAUAGUUAGUAAUGAAUAUUUAAGUUAUAAAACG